UAAGACGUAGGGGGCGAGCGUUGUCCGGAUUUACUGGGCGUAAAGAGCGCGUAGGCGGCCUAUUAAGUCAGGUGUGAAAUCUCCAGGGCUCAACCCGGAAACUGCACUUGAUACUGUUAGGCUGGAGUGUCGGAGAGGUGAUUGGAAUUCCUGGUGUAGCGGUGACAUGCAUUGAUAUCAGGAGGAACACCCAUGGCGAAGGCAGAUCACUGGCCGACAACUGACGCUGAGGCGCGAAAGCGUGGGUAGCAAACAGAAUUAGAUACUCUGGUAGUCCACGCCCUAAACGAUGGAUACUAGACGUCAGGGGUAUCGACCCCCCUGGUGUCGCAGCUAACGCAUUAAGUAUCCCGCCUGGGGACUACGGCCGCAAGGUUG
RNAcentral lists this ribosomal RNA (378 nucleotides) under uncultured bacterium. Its description in RNAcentral is "bacterial SSU rRNA". It matches the Rfam family "Bacterial small subunit ribosomal RNA", at positions 521 to 896 of the family's 1533-position model. The record is from RNAcentral.